This 253-nucleotide ribosomal RNA is filed under the name uncultured bacterium. RNAcentral's name for it is "partial 16S ribosomal RNA". It matches the Rfam family "Bacterial small subunit ribosomal RNA", at positions 524 to 776 of the family's 1533-position model. The record is from RNAcentral.
UACGGAGGAUGCAAGCGUUAUCCGGAAUGAUUGGGCGUAAAGCGUCCGCAGGUGGCAAUGUAAGUCUGCUGUUAAAGAGUCUAGCUCAACUAGAUAAAAGCAGUGGAAACUACAUAGCUAGAGUACGUUCGGGGCAGAGGGAAUUCCUGGUGUAGCGGUGAAAUGCGUAGAGAUCAGGAAGAACACCGGUGGCGAAGGCGCUCUGCUAGGCCGUAACUGACACUGAGAGACGAAAGCUAGGGGAGCAAAUGGG